RNAcentral lists this ribosomal RNA (442 nucleotides) under uncultured bacterium. RNAcentral's name for it is "partial 16S ribosomal RNA". It matches the Rfam family "Bacterial small subunit ribosomal RNA", at positions 338 to 795 of the family's 1533-position model. The record is from RNAcentral.
CCUACGGGUGGCAGCAGUAGGGAAUCUUUCACAAUGGGCGAAAGCCUGAUGGAGCAACGCCGCGUGCAGGAUGAAGGCCUUCGGGUUGUAAACUGCUUUUAUAAGCGAGAAAUAUGAUGCGAACUUAUGAAUAAGGAUCGGCUAACUACGUGCCAGCAGCCGCGGUCAUACGUAGGAUCUGAACAUUAUCUGGGGUGACUGGGUGUAAAGAGUUGCGUAGGUGGGAGAAUAAGUAGCUAGUGAAAUCUGGUGGCUCAACCAUUCAGACUAUUAGCGAAACUGUUAAGCUUGAGACCGUUAGGGGUAAGUGGAAUUUCGAGUGUAGGAGUGAAAUCCGUAGAUAUUAGAAGGAACACCAAUAGCGUAGGCAGGUUACUGGGAAGGUUCUGACACUAAGGCACGAAAGCGUAGGGAGCAAACGGGAUUAGAUACCCCUGUAGUC